Molecule: transfer RNA, 359 nt
Filed under: uncultured Microcystis sp.
Lineage: Bacteria; Bacillati; Cyanobacteriota; Cyanophyceae; Chroococcales; Microcystaceae
Description: partial 16S-23S ribosomal RNA intergenic spacer
Rfam family: tRNA (bases 134-207)
Source: RNAcentral
AAAGGGAGACCUAAUUCAGGUAGGAGACGAAAAAAAAGUAGUCGCUACCAAGAAUCAAUCCCAAAAGGUCGGAACGAGGUAUGUGGCUUUCAAACUAGGUUCUGGGUUCAAACAAGACCUGAAUCAGGAACAAGGGCUAUUAGCUCAGGUGGUUAGAGCGCACCCCUGAUAAGGGUGAGGUCCCUGGUUCGAGUCCAGGAUGGCCCACCUGCACAGGUGGCAAAAACAAGAGAAGCUCCGAAUCAGCACCUUAUCUUACUUAUAUAGUAAGAGAGAAUGCUGGCUCUGAGUAAAGAGUCCAGAGGAACCUUGAAAACUGCAUAGAGCUAGGUGAAAAAGCCAAAAAAGAAGACCGCAAG